Molecule: non-coding RNA, 264 nt
Organism: Puma concolor (puma)
Lineage: Eukaryota; Metazoa; Chordata; Mammalia; Carnivora; Felidae
Source: RefSeq, a predicted model, not a curated record
CUUCUGGAGAGGAGCAGAGAUACACGUGCCAUGUGCAGCACGAGGGGCUGCCUGAGCCCAUCACCCUGAGAUGGGAACCAUCCUCUCAGCCCUCCAUCCCCAUCCUGGGCAUCAUGGCUGGUGUGGCUAUCCUUGUGGUCACUGUGGUGGUUGGAGCUGUGAUCUGGAGGAAGAAGUUCUCAGGAGGAAAAGGACCAAGCUACUCUCUCGCUGCACGCAAUGGCAGUACCCAGGGCUCUGAUUCGUCUUUAAUGGCUCCUAAAG